UGAUAGUAGGUGAACUUUGUUGAGUGUUCCUGCUUCUUCAGUUUUGGGUCGGUAUGCCUUGCUUAUCUUUCAAGGCUGUUUGAUUCAAUGUCUUAGGCGCUCCACUAUUACCUUGUUUUGAUUAAGUUUGGAUUUUGACAAUGUAAUGAGUAUUAUGGAUUAUUGUUUUUGUUUUAAUUACUGAUGAGGAGUUUUAAACUAUCUUUUGGUUUCAUCAGUUUUGAAUAAUAUAAGAUUUCUGAAGAUUAUGAAAUGCUGCGUAAUUUUGAAUAAGGAAUAGUGGAAUUUUGUAUAGAGAAUAGAUUAUGAGUAAUGACAUAUGAGAUUACCUACUGUCAUCUCCUGAUUUCUAACAAAAUUCCACCAUUCAAACAAAAUCAUAACUCAAAAUCAUCAUAUUUACCUCCAAUUUCUCACAAUCAACUAAUUAACCAAUUACCCACAACAAUCAACCCAUAACCUUCCAAUGAAUUCAUCAAUCAAACUCAAAACACAAUAUUCAAAACCCUAACAUUUAUCAAAACAGAACUUAAAGCUUAAAGAACACAUAUUUAUACAUAAUCUUACCUUUAAACUUAUUUCCUCCAAUUCUCUUCUCCUUUCCUUAUCUUUCCCUCUUUUCUCUUCUUCUUCCUCCCCUUUUUCUUCUCUUCUCCCGUCAGUUUUCACUCUUAAAACACAGCUCUCUUCUUCUAUUUUCUUUUCUAUUUCUAUUUAUCAACUCUUUGUUCAAUUACUACAAUACCCCUUAUUCAUUUAUACCCAUUUUUAGCCUUCAAGGGCUUUAUUGCCUUUUACCUACUCAUUAAAUUUCAAAACAUCACAAUCUCCCCACCUUAUAAAAGUUUCGUCCUCGAAACUUAAACUUUAAGAAAAAGUCUUACCAUCAAGUUCAAACAAGAAUGGAUACUUGUUGAGCAUUUCCUCCUCAACCUCCCACGUCGCUUCUUCACGUGGGUGUCCGCUCCACACAACCUUAACCGAUGCGAUAUCUUUCGACCGAAGUUUUCUAACUUGUCGAUCCACUAUUUUUAUUGGUUGAACUUCAUAUGUCAUAUCUUUCCUCAGCUCAACCGGUUGAACUUCCAGCACAUGAGAUGGAUCAGACAAAUACUUCCUCAACAUCGAAACAUGGAACACUGGAUGUAUAGAGGAUAGAUUAGGUGGCAAGGCAAGCCGAUAUGCCACUACCCCUACUCUUUCCAAGAUCUCAAAGGGCCCUAUAAACUUAGGACCAAAAUUCCACUAUUGUUGUCUCUUUCCAGGAGAUGAAACAGGCACGAGUUUUUGCCAUUACUCAGCAAGAUGCCCAGACAUCCAAUAUUGUUGUCUCAGGUACACUCUUAAUAUGUUCCUUCGAUGCUAGAGUGUUAUUUGACACGGGGGCAACUCAUUCUUUCGUGUCGUCAUAUUUUGCCUUAAGGUUUACUAAACAACCCAUUUUGUUAGAGAGUCCUUUGUGUGUAGCUAUCCCUUCGGAUGAGGUUAUGUUUGGGGAAUAUGUUUAUGUUGAUUGUGAGGUUCAAGUGCAAGGGAGAAACCUAUUAGGCGAUUUGGUAAUUUUAGAAAUAAUAGGUUUUGAUGUGAUACUAGGUAUGGAUUGGUUAUCAAGGCACCAUGCCUCAGUUGAUUGUUGGAAUAAGACAGUGAUUUUCAAGCCUGGUGAGGAGACAGAGUUUGCUUUUCAUGGAGAUGGGUUAUCAUCUCCAUCUAGUAUUCUCUCGGCCAUCACGAGAAGGAUGGUACGAAAGGGUAUGCAAGGGUUUUUAGCUUAUGUGCAUGAUAUGAACAUGGAGGUCCCGAGGAUGGAACAAGUUUCGAUAGUUAAGGAAUUCAUCGAUGUUUUUCCCAAUGACUUACCUGGACUACCUCCCAAUAGGGAAAUCGAAUUCUGUAUUGAUCUAGUUUCAGGAACAAAACCAAUCUCUAUGGCACCGUACAGGAUGGCGCCAGCAGAAUUAAAAGAGUUGAAGGAGCAGAUUCAAGAUUUGUUAGAUAAGGGGUUUAUUCGUCCGAGUGUGUCUCCGUGGGGAGCACCUGUGUUAUUUGUAAAGAAGAAGGAUGGAUCAAUGAGGAUGUGUAUAGACUAUAGACAGUUGAACAAGGUCACUGUUAAGAAUAGAUACCCACUCCCUCGCAUUGAUUAUCUUUUUGAUCAAUUACAAGGAGCUCAAUGUUUCUCAAAGAUUGAUUUGCGAUCGGGGUAUCACCAGUUGAGGAUUAGGAAUGAGGAUAUUCCUAAAACUGCCUUUAGGACUCGUUAUGGGCAUUACGAGUUCCUAGUGUUGUUUUUUGGGUUAACGAAUGCACCCGCGACUUUUAUGGACAUGAUGAACAGGGUUUUUAGGCCGUUUAUUGAUAAGUUUGUUAUUGUGUUCAUUGAUGACAUCCAUUCAAAAUUCCUUAUUAAAACAUUACUCAACAAUAGUGGAAUUUUGGUACACUCUGGAAAUCUUAUUAGGCGAUUUGGUAAUUUUAGGCAUAGUAGGUUUUGAUGUGAUACUAGGUAUGGAUUGGUUAUCAAGGCACCAUGCCUCAGUUGAUUGUUGGAAUAAGACAGUGAUUUUCAAGCCUGAUGAGGAGACAGAGUUUGCUUUUCAUGGAGAUGGGUUAUCAUCUCCAUCUAGUAUUCUCUCGGCCAUCACGAGAAGGAUGGUACGAAAGGGUAUGCAAGGGUUUUUUGGCUUAUGUGCAUGAUAUGAACAUGGAGGUCCCGAGGAUGGAACAAGUUUCGAUAGUUAAGGAAUUCAUCGAUGUUUUUCCCGAUGACUUACCUGGACUACCUCCCAAUAGGGAAAUCGAAUUCUGUAUUGAUCUAGUUUCAGGAACAAAACCAAUCUCUAUGGCACCGUACAGGAAGGCGCCAGCAGAAUUAAAAGAGUUGAAGGAGCAGAUUCAAGAUUUGUUAGAUAAGGGGUUUAUUCGUCCAAGUGUGUCUCCGUGGGGAGCACCUGUUUUAUUUGUAAAGAAGAAGGAUGGAUAAAUGAGGAUGUGUAUAGACUAUAGACAGUUGAACAAGGUCACUGUUAAGAAUAGAUACCCACUCCCUCGCAUUGAUGAUCUUUUUGAUCAAUUACAAGGAGCUCAAUGUUUCUCAAAGAUUGAUUUGCGAUCGGGGUAUCACCAGUUGAGGAUUAGGAAUGAGGAUAUUCCUAAAACUGCCUUUAGGACUCGUUAUGGGCAUUACGAGUUCCUAGUGUUGUCUUUUGGGUUAACGAAUGCACCUGCGGCUUUUAUGGACAUGAUGAACAGGGUUUUUAGGCCGUUUAUUGAUAAGUUUGUUAUUGUGUUCAUUGAUGACAUCUUGGUGUAUUCAAGAAGUAAAGAGGAACAUGAAGAGCAUUUGAGAUUGGUGCCUCAAUAGCUCGGGCACGAUCCACUAUGGCUGAGUACGUCUUAAACUCAUGAGCCCCAAUAGCUUUGAAUAAGUAGCUAUUAAGACCUCGAACAAACCUCUUAAUCUUCCUCUCCUCAGUCGGUACCAAAUACCCAGCAAAUCUGGACAACCGUGUGAAUUCCACUUCAUACUCUAUCACACUCAACUCACCCUGAACCAACUUUUCAAACUCAUAUGAUCUGGCUUCCCUCACACUUUCAGGUAGAAAACGUUCCAAAAACAUCUCAGAAAAUUCCUUCCACUCCAUCGGUGGCGAACUAACUGCCCUUUCACCCCUCUUGGACUCAUACCAGUUCACAGCCACCUCUCCUUCUAGCCUGAAAGAUGCCAAAGUCACUGCACGAUGAUCCGUGCACCCCAUGGCCUCACAUCUACGCCACACUGCAUCUAAAAAUUGUUGUGGGUCCUCAGAGUUAUCAACACCCUUAAAAGUAGGAGGUGCCAACUUAAGGAACUCUGACAAUGACACUUUCACCCCAUGCACAGUAUGGAGUUUGGAUUUUGACAAUGUAAUGAGUAUUAUGGAUUAUUGUUUUUGUUUUAAUUACUGAUGAGGAGUUUUAAACUAUCUUUUGGUUUCAUCACUGAGUUGGUUGAACUCACCCCUCAUUCUUAAUAUUAUUUCAGGUUCUUAGUUUCUGAUAGUAGGUGAACUUUGUUGAGUGUUCCUGCUUCUUCAGUUUUGGGUCGGUAUGCCUUGCUUAUCUUUCAAGGCUGUUUGAUUCAAUGUCUUAGGCGCUCCACUAUUACCUUGUUUUGAUUAAGUUUGGAUUUUGACAAUGUAAUGAGUAUUAUGGAUUAUUGUUUUUGUUUUAAUUACUGAUGAGGAGUUUUAAACUAUCUUUUGGUUUCAUCAGUUUUGAAUAAUAUAAGAUUUCUGAAGAUUAUGAAAUGCUGCG
Molecule: long non-coding RNA, 4296 nt
Filed under: Populus trichocarpa (black cottonwood)
Lineage: Eukaryota; Viridiplantae; Streptophyta; Magnoliopsida; Malpighiales; Salicaceae
Description: long non-coding RNA (PTRI_LNC004715)
Source: RNAcentral